This 253-nucleotide ribosomal RNA is filed under the name uncultured bacterium. RNAcentral's name for it is "partial 16S ribosomal RNA". It matches the Rfam family "Bacterial small subunit ribosomal RNA", at positions 524 to 776 of the family's 1533-position model. The record is from RNAcentral.
UACGAAGGGGGCUAGCGUUGCUCGGAAUCACUGGGCGUAAAGCGCACGUAGGCGGCUUUUUAAGUCAGGGGUGAAAUCCUGGAGCUCAACUCCAGAACUGCCUUUGAUACUGAGAAGCUUGAGUCCGGGAGAGGUGAGUGGAACUGCGAGUGUAGAGGUGAAAUUCGUAGAUAUCUGGAGGAACACCGGUGGCGAAGGCGGCAUCCUGGACCGACACUGACGCUGAGGAGCGAAAGCCAGGGGAGCAAACGGG